CUCAAAUAAAGGGAAGCCUUGUGAGUGUGUACAGGUAAUAGGGAAUUUUCCAUCUGGCAUCUGGGAUAGGAGAAAGAAGUGAGAACAACAGUGGAGAGGAGUCAAGUCCCAAGUGAUGAGGAAGCAGAACAUUAUCAAGUAUGUUCCGGGCAGGAAUGUGUGGGAAAGAUGAAAGAACCAACAAUAGAAACUGAGAAGAUGCCUCCCAGGAGAGAGGAAGAAAACCACAGGAGCUUGGGAGCCUGGAAGCUAAGUGAAUACAUGUUUUGAGGGGGAGGAAGGCCUCUUACCACCAACAACUUUCAUCACAUUCCAACUGAAAUUGCACAAGAAGAAAAUGCAAAUGGAAGAUUGCUCAGCUGGAAUUCUAGAGAGGAAGAAAGACCAGUAGAGAGAUACAUCAUAAUAUCACAUGCCGGAUCCUGGACUUGAGACUUGGACAACCUGGGUGGAAUAACUGGUUCUGCUGAAGGAGCCAGCAUUAAAAGGAGGCCACAUGUGACAGACAACUCAAAGGCCAUGCUUUGUCCAUGCUGCUGGAACAUCUACCUGCUUUGUGUGUGCAGCAAAUGGUAGUGAGGCCGGCUACCCUCUGAAAAAUUGAAGUCAGUCACAUUCAUCUAAAUUUUCCUUCUGCAAGGAGAGCCACUUCUUACUGGGAAGAGAUCCUGCAAUUCACUGUGAUGAUUACAAGGUGAAAAGUUGACAAAAGGCAAUUUGAAGAUCGCUUUAACAAUUUACUGGAUUUUGGGCAGCCCGGUGGCUCAGAGGUUUAGCGCUGCCUUCAGCCCGGGGCCUGAUCCUGGAGACCCGGGAUGGAGUCCCAUGUCGGGCUCCCUGCAUGGAGCCUGCUUCUCCCUCUGCCUGUGUC
Molecule: long non-coding RNA, 871 nt
Organism: Canis lupus familiaris (dog)
Lineage: Eukaryota; Metazoa; Chordata; Mammalia; Carnivora; Canidae
Exons: 6
Source: RefSeq, a predicted model, not a curated record